CCUAAUGCUGAUUAAAGGAAGAGUUCAGUUUAGGGUUUAAAACCCUAAUGCUGACUAAAAGGAAAAGUUCAGUUUAGGGUUUAAAACCCUAAUGCUGACUGAAAGGAAAAAUUCAGUUUAGGGUUUAAAAACCCUAAUGCUGACUAAAUGGAAAAAGUUCAGUUUAGGGUUUAAAACCCUAAUGCUGACUAAAGGAAAAAGUUCAGUUUAGGGUUUAAAGCCCUAAUGCUGAUUAAAAGAAAAAGUUCAGUUUAGGGUUUAAAACCCUAAUGCUGAUUAAAGGAAAAAGUUCCGUUUAGGGUUUAAAACCCUAAAGCUUACUGAAUGGCAAAGUUCAGUUUAAAGUUUAAAACUCUAAUGCUGACUGACUGGAAAAAGUUCAGUUUAAAGUUUAAAACCCUAAUGCUGACUGGAAGGAAAAAGUUCAGUUUAGGGUUUAAAACCCUAAUGCUGACUGAAAGGAAAAGUUCAGUUUAGGGUUUAAAACCCUAAUGCUGAUUAAAAGAAAAAGUUCAGUUUAGGGUUUAAAACCCUAAUGCUGAUUAAAAGAAAAGUUCAGUUUAGGGUUUAAAACCCUAAUGCUGAUUAAAAGAAAAAGUUCAGUUUAGGGUUUAGAACCCUAAUGCUGAUUAAAGGAAAAAGUUCAGUUUAGGGUUUAAAACCCUAAAGCUGACUGAAUGGAAAAGUUCAGUUUAGGGUUUAAAACCCUAAUGCAGACUGGCUGGGGACAAAGUUCGAGAAU
Molecule: long non-coding RNA, 742 nt
Filed under: Nicotiana tabacum (common tobacco)
Lineage: Eukaryota; Viridiplantae; Streptophyta; Magnoliopsida; Solanales; Solanaceae
Description: long non-coding RNA (NTAB_LNC001014)
Source: RNAcentral